AAUUUAUUCCUUCUUUUUUAAAGUAUUCAGGUAGCCAAGAGAAAGUAACUCAGAGUAAGGACUCAGUAACUGAAGACGAUUGGUCCACAACCUUUAAGCAGAUCCUGGAGAAUGGUGAUGAGAUGAAGGACAUGUUGCAAAUCAGCCAGAGAAGUCUGGACAGACCCUCCCAUUUUGAUGACUGUGCACCACAUCUAGAACAGAGGAUGACAAAAUCUCGUUCCCUCUCCAAGAUGAGCAUCUCUUCAGCUGGCAGCUCUAACUAUCACUUCCACCGUGAGCCUUCUUACAGCCUGGAAGACUCAGAGGAUGAUGAUGAAUCUGAGAUGCACCUCAUAUAUAGUCCUGCCCCACAUAGGGAGCACUCACCAGAUGAGGUUCCUCCACAGAUUAUUGAGCUCAACAAGCGUAUGUCAGCAAUCGAGACUCUUCUGAGCCGUUUGGAGCAGAAACUCAUCUUGCCGGUAAUUGGGGGAUCAGCAG
RNAcentral lists this long non-coding RNA (483 nucleotides) under Sinocyclocheilus grahami. RNAcentral's name for it is "lncRNA (ENSSGRG00000000756.1)". The record is from RNAcentral. Lineage: Eukaryota; Metazoa; Chordata; Actinopteri; Cypriniformes; Cyprinidae.